UGCAAUUUUCCAUCCGCUCCACCAGGCGGCGGAAUCAGGCUUUAGGUUCAGUUUGACACAUUCAGAUGCUGCUUGACAACAUGACGCUUGAUAACAGUCACAACAACACGUGCAGACUGAUUUAACAAAUUCUGCAGAUGACAGGUCAGUUACAGACUCAUAAUAUCACUUGGCAGCACACACUUCAGCCCAUAAACAAACAAAACAGACAAACGCUGCGAUAAAGUGCAGUAGUGGAAGAUGUCACGCGACUCACCUAAUAAGGGAUGUUUGGACCGUUACAUUCAGCCAACAGAAGCAUGUGGACAGACAUUGACUGUAAUGAUGGACAUCUGCUGAUGCACAGGCAGAAAUAUAACCCCUGCUGGACAUUGUGCUGGAGCUCGGGGGGACACCAUGAUCCCCCACGCCUUCUCAGUCACACCAGACCAUUCACUCAUAUCACGGAGAUCUGGCUGGACUCGAACCAGCAACCUCUGAAACCGUGAGGCAGCACUCUUACCACUGAGCCACAGAUCUCUUGCCUGAACAUGUGCAGGAACUUAUAUUUCACUAUUAACCCUGUCAUUUUACAAUAAACCAGAUA
Sinocyclocheilus anshuiensis is the source of this 586-nucleotide long non-coding RNA. RefSeq lists it as uncharacterized. The transcript has 3 exons. The record is from RefSeq and is a predicted model, not a curated record. Lineage: Eukaryota; Metazoa; Chordata; Actinopteri; Cypriniformes; Cyprinidae.